RNAcentral lists this ribosomal RNA (254 nucleotides) under uncultured bacterium. RNAcentral describes it as "partial 16S ribosomal RNA". It matches the Rfam family "Bacterial small subunit ribosomal RNA", at positions 524 to 776 of the family's 1533-position model. The record is from RNAcentral.
UACGUAGGGGGCUAGCGUUGUCCGGAAUCAUUGGGCGUAAAGAGCGUGUAGGCGGUCCGGUAAGUCCGCUGUGAAAGUCGGGGGGCUCAACCCUCGAAUGCCGGUGGAUACUGUCGGGCUAGAGUGCGGAAGAGGCGAGUGGAAUCCUGGUGUAGCGGUGAAAUGCGCAGAUAUCAGGAGGAACACCUAUUGCGAAGGCAGCUCGCUGGGACGUUACUGACGCUGGAGACGCGAAAGCGUGGGGAGCAAACAGG